UACGUAGGUGGCGAGCGUUGUCCGGAUUUAUUGGGCGUAAAGCGCGCGCAGGCGGUUGAUUAAGUCCGGUGUGAAAGCUCCUGGCUCAACUGGGAGAGGUCACUGGAUACUGGUCGACUGGAGGCAGGCAGAGGAAGGUGGAAUUCCCGGUGUAGUGGUGAAAUGCGUAGAUAUCGGGAGGAACACCAGUGGCGAAGGCGGCCUUCUGGGCCUGUCCUGACGCUGAGGCGCGAAAGCGUGGGGAGCGAACCGG
This 253-nucleotide ribosomal RNA is filed under the name uncultured bacterium. RNAcentral describes it as "partial 16S ribosomal RNA". It matches the Rfam family "Bacterial small subunit ribosomal RNA", at positions 524 to 776 of the family's 1533-position model. The record is from RNAcentral.